AGCAGCCGCGGUAAUUCCAGCUCCAAUAGCGUAUAUUAAAGUUGUUGCAGUUAAAAAGCUCGUAGUUGAAUUUCGGGAUCAAUUAAUUGGUCGUGCCUCUGGUACGUACUGAUUUUAUUGGUUUCUCCCUUCUGACGAACCAUGAUGUCAUUAAUUUGGUGUCGUGGAGAACCAGGACUGUUACUUUGAAAAAAUUAGAGUGUUUAAAGCAAGCUAACGCUUGAAUACAUUAGCAUGGAAUAAUGAAAUAGGACGUUUGACCCUAUUUUGUUGGUUUCUAGGAUCGACGUAAUGAUUAAUAGGGAUAGUUGGGGGCAUUAGUAUUCAAUUGUCAGAGGUGAAAUUCUUGGAUUUAUUGAAGACUAACUACUGCGAAAGCAUUUGCCAAGGAUGUUUUCAUUAAUCAAGAACGAAAGUUAGGGGAUCGAAGACGAUCAGAUACCGUCGUAGUCUUAACCAUAAACUAUGCCGACUAGGGAUCGGAUGAUGUUAAUUUUUUAAUGUACUCAUUCGGCGCCUU
This 520-nucleotide unclassified non-coding RNA is filed under the name uncultured Glomus. RNAcentral describes it as "SSU rRNA". It matches the Rfam family "Eukaryotic small subunit ribosomal RNA", at positions 569 to 1089 of the family's 1831-position model. Lineage: Eukaryota; Fungi; Glomeromycota; Glomeromycetes; Glomerales; Glomeraceae. The record is from RNAcentral.